Molecule: ribosomal RNA, 253 nt
Filed under: uncultured bacterium
Lineage: Bacteria
Description: partial 16S ribosomal RNA
Rfam family: Bacterial small subunit ribosomal RNA
Source: RNAcentral
UACGGAGGGUGCUAGCGUUGUUCGGAAUCACUGGGCGUAAGGCGCGUGUAGGCGGCCCACUAAGUCUGAUGUGAAAGCCCGGGGCUCACCCCCGGAAGUGCAUUGGAAACUGGUGGACUCGAGUCCCGGAGAGGAGAGUGGAAUUCCUGGUGUAGCGGUGAAAUGCGCAGAUAUCAGGAAGAACACCUAUGGCGAAGGCAGCUCUCUGGGACGGUACUGACGCUGAGACGCGAAAGCGUGGGGAGCGAACAGG